Molecule: small RNA, 398 nt
Filed under: Pongo abelii (Sumatran orangutan)
Lineage: Eukaryota; Metazoa; Chordata; Mammalia; Primates; Hominidae
Description: processed transcript
Source: RNAcentral
ACCCAGGCUGGAGUGCAAUGGCAUGAUUUCGGCUCACUGCAAACUCCACCUCGCGGGUUCAAUUGAUUCUCCUGCCUCAGCCUCCCACAUAGCUGAGACUACAGGUAAAAGGUCCAGGAGUUGGGCUGCUUGGAAUUUCCAAAGGGGGUGAGCUCUGCCUUUCCAUGGCCUCUUUCCUGAAGGGCAUCACGGCUGCUGUUGUCAUCAACGGCUCUGUGGCCAAUGUUGGGGGAACCUUACGCUACAAGGGUGAGACCCUGCCCCCUGUGGGCGUCAACAGAAAUCGCAUCAGGGUGACCAAAGAUGGCUAUGCAGACAUUGUGGAUGUCCUGAACAGCCCUUUGGAAGGACCUGACCAGAAGAGUUUCAUUCCUGUGGAAAGGGCAGAGAGCACCUUC